Molecule: transfer RNA, 54 nt
Filed under: Euphaedusa planostriata
Lineage: Eukaryota; Metazoa; Mollusca; Gastropoda; Stylommatophora; Clausiliidae
Description: tRNA-Ser
Source: RNAcentral
UAUAGCAUUUAGGAUUUUGAAAAUCCUAUAAGAUUAUAAAAAAUAAUCCUAUGU